RNAcentral lists this ribosomal RNA (1794 nucleotides) under Triticum aestivum (bread wheat). RNAcentral's name for it is "partial small subunit ribosomal RNA". The record is from RNAcentral. Lineage: Eukaryota; Viridiplantae; Streptophyta; Magnoliopsida; Poales; Poaceae.
AUGAAGUACAAGAUGGCGAAGAAGGCCGCAAAGCGAGCUGUUGGUGAAGCAAGGGGUCGGGCAUAUGAGGACCUCUACCAACGGUUAGGCACGAAGGAAGGUGAAAGGGACAUCUAUAAGAUGGCUAAGAUCCGGGAGAGGAAGACGAGGGAUAUUGGCCAAGUCAAAUGCAUCAAGGACGGAGCAGGCCAACUCUUGGUGAAGGACGAAGAGAUUAAGCAUAGAUGGCGGGAGUACUUCGACAAGCUGUUCAAUGGGGAGAAUGAGAGUUCUACCAUUGAACUGAAUGACUCCUUUGAUGAGACCAGCAUGCGUUUUGUGCGGCGCAUCCAGGAGUCUGAGGUGAAGGAGGCUUUAAAAAGGAUGAAAGGAGGCAAGGCGAUGGGCCCUGAUUGUAUCCCCAUUGAGGUGUGGAAAGGUCUCGGGGACAUAGCGAUAGUAUGGCUAACCAAGCUUUUCAACCUCAUUUUUCGGGCAAACAAGAUGCCAGAAGAAUGGAGACGGAGUAUAUUAGUACCAAUCUUCAAGAACAAGGGGGAUGUUCAGAGUUGUACAAAUUACCGUGGAAUUAAGCUGAUGAGCCAUACAAUGAAGCUAUGGGAGAGAGUCAUUGAGCACCGCUUAAGAAGAAUGACAAGCGUGACCAAAAAUCAGUUUGGUUUCAUGCCUGGGAGGUCGACCAUGGAAGCCAUUUUCUUGGUACGACAACUUAUGGAGAGAUAUAGGGAGCAUAAGAAGGACUUGCAUAUGGUGUUCAUUGACUUGGAGAAGGCCUAUGAUAAGAUACCGCGGAAUGUCAUGUGGUGGGCCUUGGAGAAACACAAAGUCCCAGCAAAGUACAUUGCCCUCAUCAAGGACAUGUACAAUAAUGUUGUGACAAGUGUUCGAACAAGUGAUGUCGACACCGAUGACUUCCCGAUUAAGAUAGGACUGCAUCAGGGGUCAGCUUUGAGCCCUUAUCUUUUUGCAUUGGUGAUGGAUGAGGUCACAAGGGGUAUACAAGGAGAUAUCCCAUGGUGUAUGCUCUUUGCGGAUGAUGUGGUGCUAGUUGACGAUAGUCGGACGGGGGUAAAUAGGAAGUUAGAGUUAUGGAGACAAACCUUGGAAUCGAAAGGGUUUAGGCUUAGUAGAACUAAAAUCGAGUACAUGAUGUGCGGUUUCAGUACUACUAGCUGUGAGGAGGAGGAGGUUAGCCUUGAUGGCCAGGUGGUACCUCGAAAGGACACCUUUCGGUAUUUGGGGUCAAUGUUGCAGGAGGAUGGGGGUACUGAUGAAGAUGUGAACCAUCGAAUCAAAGCCGGAUGGAUGAAGUGGCGCCAAGCUUCUGGCAUUCUCUGUGACAAGAGAGUGCCACAAAAGCUAAAAGGCAAGUUCUACAGGACGGCGGUUCGACCCGCAAUGUUGUAUGGCGCGAAGUGUUGGCUAACUAAAAGGCGACAUGUUCAACAGUUAGGUGUGGCGGAGAUGCGUAUGUUGAGAUGGAUGUGUGGCCACACGAGGAAGGAUCGAGUCCGGAAUGAUGAUAUACGAGAUAGAGUUGGGGUAGCACCAAUUGAGGAGAAGCUUGUCCAACAUCGUUUGAGAUGGUUUGGGCAUAUUCAGCGCAGGCCUCCAGAAGCUCCAGUGCAUAGCGGACGGCUAAAGCGUGCGGAGAAUGUCAAGAGAGGGCGGGGUCGACCGAUUUUGACAUGGGAGGAGUCCGUUAAGAGAGACCUGAAGGAUUGGAGUAUCGACAAAGAGCUAGCUAUGGACAGGGGUGCGUGGAAGCUUGCUAUCCAUGUGCCAGAGCCAUGA